Long non-coding RNA from Gavialis gangeticus (Gharial), 125 nucleotides. RefSeq lists it as uncharacterized. The transcript has 3 exons. Lineage: Eukaryota; Metazoa; Chordata; Crocodylia; Gavialidae. The record is from RefSeq and is a predicted model, not a curated record.
ACAUUUUUCCUAUCAGAGGAAUGUUUCUCAACUCUUUAAGUAGCAAGCACCUCCUAACUUCUGAAAAUGUUAAUAAGUACCCCAACACUCAGUUUUCCAGGGGAUUUUAUAUUUACAGACUAAUG